RNAcentral lists this ribosomal RNA (431 nucleotides) under uncultured bacterium. Its description in RNAcentral is "bacterial SSU rRNA". It matches the Rfam family "Bacterial small subunit ribosomal RNA", at positions 28 to 341 of the family's 1533-position model. The record is from RNAcentral.
GAUGAACGCUGGCGGCGUGCUUAACACAUGCAAGUCGAGCGGGCAAUUUAUCUAGCACUGAUUACUUCAAAUGGCUAUCGCCAGUGUAAUCAUGAAUUUCUACCUUUAAUAAAGAAAAAAGAAAUUCAUGUACGCAAAUAGUGAUAACACAUUUUAGUGGAGUGAUGAGUGCUGGAUAAAUUGCUAGCGGCGGACGGGUGCGUAACACGUGGGUAACCUGCCCCUAUCACUGGGAUAACACACUGAAAAGUGUGCUAAUACCAGAUAACAUAAGCUUUUGGCAUCAUUAGCUUAUCAAAGAAUUUCGGAUAGGGAUGGGCCCGCGUCUGAUUAGCUAGUUGGUGAGGUAACGGCUCACCAAGGCAACGAUCAGUAGCCGACCUGAGAGGGUGAUCGGCCACACUGGAACUGAGACACGGUCCAGACUCCUA